GAUGAACGCUGGCGGCGUGCCUAAUACAUGCAAGUCGAGCGAACGGACGAGAAGCUUGCUUCUCUGAUGUUAGCGGCGGACGGGUGAGUAACACGUGGAUAACCUACCGAUAAGACUGGGAUAACGUCGGGAAACCGGAGCUAAUACCGGAUAAUAUGUUGAACCGCAUGGUUCAAAAGUGAAAGACGGUCUUGCUGUCACUUAUAGAUGGAUCCGCGCUGCAUUAGCUAGUUGGUAAGGUAACGGCUUACCAAGGCAACGAUGCAUAGCCGACCUGAGAGGGUGAUCGGCCACACUGGAACUGAGACACGGUCCAGACUCCUACGGGAGGCAGCAGUAGGGAAUCUUCCGCAAUGGGCGAAAGCCUGACGGAGCAACGCCGCGUGAGUGAUGAAGGUCUUCGGAUCGUAAAACUCUGUUAUUAGGGAAGAACAUAUGUGUAAGUAACUGUGCACAUCUUGACGGUACCUAAUCAGAAAGCCACGGCUAACUACGUG
Molecule: ribosomal RNA, 497 nt
Filed under: uncultured bacterium
Lineage: Bacteria
Description: partial 16S ribosomal RNA
Rfam family: Bacterial small subunit ribosomal RNA
Source: RNAcentral